GGAAAAAGAGCACCAAAGACCCAGAUUUUGACAUCAUUUCCUGGUUGAACAAGAUGAAGCAGAGUAAUAAAUGGGUAGGCUUUACCUGAUUGGCUGAAUUCAGCUUCCUCGGACCCGGAAGAGCUUGGUAUCUGAUCGGCGGGGGGCAUUUUCUCUAUAUAAGAAGAAGAAGGAGACUCGCUACCCACCUGAUAUAUUUUGUCGAACAGAUUUCUGUACAUUGCAGUGACAACUGUAUCCAGAUUUCAUCACAGGAAUGAAAGUUUUUCACUCUUUGGAACAGUACCUGCAGCAGGGAGGGGUCAUUCAUUAAGAUGGUCACAGAUUCCAAGACACUGAAGUGACAGGCCUCAAAUUUCAUACUUGUAUAUUGGAAAAAGAGCACCAAAGACCCAGAUUUUGACAUCAUUUCCUGGUUGAACAAGAUGAAGCAGAGUAAUAAAUGGGUAGGCUUUACCUGAUUGGCUGAAUUCAGG
Molecule: long non-coding RNA, 476 nt
Organism: Saccostrea cuccullata (small rock oyster)
Lineage: Eukaryota; Metazoa; Mollusca; Bivalvia; Ostreida; Ostreidae
Exons: 4
Source: RefSeq, a predicted model, not a curated record